This 484-nucleotide ribosomal RNA is filed under the name uncultured bacterium. Its description in RNAcentral is "partial 16S ribosomal RNA". It matches the Rfam family "Bacterial small subunit ribosomal RNA", at positions 29 to 507 of the family's 1533-position model. The record is from RNAcentral.
AUUGAACGCUGGCGGCAUGCUUUACACAUGCAAGUCGAACGGCAGCGCGGGCUUCGGCCUGGCGGCGAGUGGCGAACGGGUGAGUAAUACAUCGGAACGUGCCCAGUAGUGGGGGAUAGCUCGGCGAAAGCCGGAUUAAUACCGCAUACGACCUGAGGGUGAAAGCGGGGGAUCUUCGGACCUCGCGCUAUUGGAGCGGCCGAUGGCAGAUUAGCUAGUUGGUGGGGUAAAGGCCUACCAAGGCGACGAUCUUUAGCUGGUCUGAGAGGACGACCAGCCACACUGGGACUGAGACACGGCCCAGACUCCUACGGGAGGCGGCAGUGGGGAAUUUUGGACAAUGGGCGAAAGCCUGAUCCAGCAAUGCCGCGUGUGUGAUGAAGGCCUUCGGGUUGCAAAGCACUUUUGGCGGGAACGAAAAGGACUGUGCCAAUACCACGGUUCGAUGACGGUACCCGCAGAAUAAGCACCGGCUAACUACGUG